RNAcentral lists this ribosomal RNA (1346 nucleotides) under uncultured bacterium. RNAcentral describes it as "partial 16S ribosomal RNA". It matches the Rfam family "Bacterial small subunit ribosomal RNA", at positions 28 to 1381 of the family's 1533-position model. The record is from RNAcentral.
GACGAACGCUGGCGGCGUGCUUAACACAUGCAAGUCGAACGGAAAGGCCCUGCUUUUGUGGGGUGCUCGAGUGGCGAACGGGUGAGUAACACGUGAGUAACCUGCCCUUGACUUUGGGAUAACUUCAGGAAACUGGGGCUAAUACCGGAUAGGAGCUCCUGCUGCAUGGUGGGGGUUGGAAAGCUUCGGCGGUUGGGGAUGGACUCGCGGCUUAUCAGCUUGUUGGUGGGGUAGUGGCUUACCAAGGCUUUGACGGGUAGCCGGCCUGAGAGGGUGACCGGCCACAUUGGGACUGAGAUACGGCCCAGACUCCUACGGGAGGCAGCAGUGGGGAAUAUUGCACAAUGGGCGGAAGCCUGAUGCAGCAACGCCGCGUGCGGGAUGACGGCCUUCGGGUUGUAAACCGCUUUCGCCUGUGACGAAGCGUGAGUGACGGUAAUGGGUAAAGAAGCACCGGCUAACUACGUGCCAGCAGCCGCGGUGAUACGUAGGGUGCGAGCGUUGUCCGGAUUUAUUGGGCGUAAAGGGCUCGUAGGUGGUUGAUCGCGUCGGAAGUGUAAUCUUGGGGCUUAACCCUGAGCGUGCUUUCGAUACGGGUUGACUUGAGGAAGGUAGGGGAGAAUGGAAUUCCUGGUGGAGCGGUGGAAUGCGCAGAUAUCAGGAGGAACACCAGUGGCGAAGGCGGUUCUCUGGGCCUUUCCUGACGCUGAGGAGCAAAAGCGUGGGGAGCGAACAGGCUUAGAUACCCUGGUAGUCCACGCUGUAAACGGUGGGUACUAGGUGUGGGGUCCAUUCCACGGGUUCCGUGCCGUAGCUAACGCUUUAAGUACCCCGCCUGGGGAGUACGGCCGCAAGGCUAAAACUCAAAGGAAUUGACGGGGCCCCGCACAAGCGGCGGAGCAUGCGGAUUAAUUCGAUGCAACGCGUAGAACCUUACCUGGGUUUGACAUGGAUCGGGAGUGCUCAGAGAUGGGUGUGCCUCUUUUGGGGUCGGUUCACAGGUGGUGCAUGGCUGUCGUCAGCUCGUGUCGUGAGAUGUUGGGUUAAGUCCCGCAACGAGCGCAACCCUUGUUCACUGUUGCCAGCACGUUAUGGUGGGGACUCAGUGGAGACCGCCGGGGUCAACUCGGAGGAAGGUGGGGAUGACGUCAAGUCAUCAUGCCCCUUAUGUCCAGGGCUUCACGCAUGCUACAAUGGCUGGUACAGAGAGUGGCGAGCCUGUGAGGGUGAGCGAAUCUCGGAAAGCCGGUCUCAGUUCGGAUUGGGGUCUGCAACUCGACCUCAUGAAGUCGGAGUCGCUAGUAAUCGCAGAUCAGCAACGCUGCGGUGAAUACGUUCCCGGGGCU